CCCCAGACUCCUACGGGAGGCAGCAGUGGGGGAUAUUGCACAAUGGGGGGAACCCUGAUGCAGCGACGCCGCGUGGGUGAAGGAGUAUUUCGGUAUGUAAAGCCCUAUCGGCAGGGAAGAAGCAAGACGGUACCUGACUAAGAAGCCCCGACUAACUACGUGCCAGCAGCCGCGGGAAUACGUAGGGGGCAAGCGUUAUCCGGAUUUACUGGGUGUAAAGGGGGCGCAGGCGGCAGCGCAAGCCAGGAGUGAAAGCCCGGGGCCCAACCCCGGGACUGCUCUUGGAACUGCGCGGCUGGAGUGCAGGAGGGGCAGGCGGAAUUCCUGGUGUAGCGGUGAAAUGCGUAGAUAUCAGGAGGAACACCGGUGGCGAAGGCGGCCUGCUGGGCUGCGACUGACGUUGAGGCCCGAAAGCGUGGGGAGCAAACAGGAUUAGAUACCCCAGUA
RNAcentral lists this ribosomal RNA (447 nucleotides) under uncultured bacterium. RNAcentral describes it as "partial 16S ribosomal RNA". It matches the Rfam family "Bacterial small subunit ribosomal RNA", at positions 329 to 792 of the family's 1533-position model. The record is from RNAcentral.